GCAGAAGUGGUGGAAUUGGUAGACACGCUACCUUGAGGGGGUAGUGCUCUUACGGGCGUGCGGGUUCAAGUCCCGCCUUCUGCACCA
This 87-nucleotide transfer RNA is filed under the name Idiomarina abyssalis. RNAcentral's name for it is "tRNA-Leu". It matches the Rfam family "tRNA". Rfam says of the family: Transfer RNA (tRNA) molecules are approximately 80 nucleotides in length. Their secondary structure includes four short double-helical elements and three loops (D, anti-codon, and T loops). Further hydrogen bonds mediate the characteristic L-shaped molecular structure. tRNAs have two regions of fundamental functional importance: the anti-codon, which is responsible for specific mRNA codon recognition, and the 3' end, to which the tRNAs corresponding amino acid is attached (by aminoacyl-tRNA synthetases). tRNAs cope with the degeneracy of the genetic code in two manners: having more than one tRNA (with a specific anti-codon) for a particular amino acid; and 'wobble' base-pairing, i.e. permitting non-standard base-pairing at the 3rd anti-codon position. Lineage: Bacteria; Pseudomonadati; Pseudomonadota; Gammaproteobacteria; Alteromonadales; Idiomarinaceae. The record is from RNAcentral. RNAcentral also lists the same sequence under 19 other names.